CCUACGGGGGGCAGCAGUGGGGAAUAUUGGACAAUGGGGGCAACCCUGAUCCAGCAAUUCUGUGUGCACGAUGAAGGUUUUCGGAUUGUAAAGUGCUUUCAGCAGGGAAGAAAAAAAUGACGGUACCUGCAGAAGAAGCGACGGCUAAAUACGUGCCAGCAGCCGCGGUAAUACGUAUGUCGCAAGCGUUAUCCGGAAUUAUUGGGCAUAAAGGGCAUCUAGGCGGCCAGAUAAGUCUGGGGUGAAAACUUGCGGCUCAACCGCAAGCCUGCCCUGGAAACUAUGUGGCUAGAGUACUGGAGAGGUGGACGGAACUGCACGAGUAGAGGUGAAAUUCGUAGAUAUGUGCAGGAAUGCCGAUGAUGAAGAUAGUUCACUGGACGGUAACUGACGCUGAAGUGCGAAAGCUAGGGGAGCAAACAGG
Molecule: ribosomal RNA, 424 nt
Filed under: uncultured Clostridium sp.
Lineage: Bacteria; Bacillati; Bacillota; Clostridia; Eubacteriales; Clostridiaceae
Description: bacterial SSU rRNA
Rfam family: Bacterial small subunit ribosomal RNA
Source: RNAcentral